UAUGUCACUUGUGCUAAAUUUGGUUCUAGAAUAAUUAGAUAUUUUGUUCCAAGAAGGAGGCAACAACAGAGAGACAUGACUCUCUUCUCUAGAUUCUCAAGGAUUGCUCUUUGAGUUCUCCUUCUUCCGGUACCAUCCCUUUUGUUUUCCGUCUUCUCAUUUUCCAUGAAUAAACCCAAUUGUUUUUGUCCUGCAACCAGUUGGCCCUUUUCCCUGUUUGUGCUUUGGUGUGGUUGCUUCUCCAUUUUGCUUCACCACUUCUUCUUUUUCUAGUGCCCUGGGAAAAUUCUUACAAUCUCAACUUUGAAGCUCUAACUAAAUUGGGAACAACAACAAUUACAACAAAAAAUAUAGGUGAGGUGGAAGCGUCCUAUAGCCUCACGGUAGACAUCUACUUUAUGUUGAGACAGAUAAAGUAUGUGUUUUAUCUUCGUAUUCACAUCCCAGAAUUAAGUUGCCAAAAUCAGGUGGCACAGUUGGUAAGGAUUUGAAUCUUGAAAGGUCUUCGUGUUUGAGCCAUUUUUUCUUGAUGUAUUUUGCCAAGACGACAUGGAACUUUGCUCGCAUCCUAUGUUGUUUACACUGUCAAUAUUCAUUUUAGAGGCACACGAAUAUUUGGUGCAGUAAUUGAGGAUUGCUAGCAAAAGGAUUAAAGGAUGCAAAAAUGUAUGUAAUUUUACAUUAUAGUUGAAAUAUUUCUUGAGUAUAUUUAGAUUUAAGAAAAUUAUGCAAAAGCUAAGAUAUUUAAGAGAAAUUAGUCGUUGCAGGCCAUUCUCACUGGCGGUUCUCUUAAUGGAUAUCCAACAAUGCUACAAUGAUCACUUCAACCAUUUAUUGCUUUAUGCUGCAUUCAUGUUACUUUUCAAAUUAGCUAAACAUUAGUAUCGACAACCAAAAGCUUAUAACAUGAGAAACUCCAUAUCAUAACUGAAGGAUGAGAGAAAUGUCUCAUAGGAAGUUCAAGCCCCCAAGACAGGGGUCUUUGGGCUUUCUACCCAGAAAGAGAGUUGCUCGACAUAGGGGAAAGGGUAUGCAAUAUUCUUUUCGGUACUACAUAUAAUUGUUGGAAUCUUGAUCCAUUGUUCUAUUUUCAUUAAAUUGAUCAGUUACCAGAAGGUAGUAGUUGGGAUAUGAUGGUCUAAAAUGUCCAGAAGCAAGAUUCUUAUCACGGAAGAGUGUUUAGGUGUCUCUCCCCUCUUUUCGGUUGAUAAACAAAAUAAAUUAAUUCACCCAAUCCCGGGAUAGCUCAGUGAAAAAAAAAGAGUUAUUUCUGCGAUUUUCAUUUGCUUUCUUCUUUUUCAAUGAAGGUACCCUCUACCAAGAACUGGUGCAAGUCCAAGAAGUAGGCCUUUAUGAAAUACUCCAAGAAAUAUGAGACUGAUGAAGUUAAAAAAGAUAUCCAGGCACAGCAGGAGAAACUGAAGAAGUAUGCUUAUGUCACUCGUGUGUUACCUUACACUCAGUGAAUAUGUUGAUCUUAUAGGGAUCGAGAAAGUGAACAAGUUAGCAAGAUAUCACCUACAGGACAUUUAGGUUGGACCCGUGCUGAAUAUUUUGGUUGAAGGAUAGCGUUGAGUACUACUGGUCUAUGCCAAAGUGCAGAGAAAAUCUAAUAGCACAUUCUAUGAUAUGUAGUUCAUAUUUCUAUAGACUAUAAUGUUAGAUUCAUGGGUGGUGCUAUGCAUUUACUGUAAUAAAAAAAUACCCAAUUAUGCACAUAUUGUACAUAGACUAUUGGUUAUUAGUAUCUAUUUAAAUUUCAGUACGAAUUCGUGUUUGGCCUUAUUUAUCUUGA
Molecule: long non-coding RNA, 1795 nt
Organism: Lycium ferocissimum
Lineage: Eukaryota; Viridiplantae; Streptophyta; Magnoliopsida; Solanales; Solanaceae
Exons: 4
Source: RefSeq, a predicted model, not a curated record